UCUCCGUUGGUUAACCAGCGGAGGGAUCAUUAAAGAGUUGCAAAACUCCCAAACCCAUGUUAACCUACCUUCAACGUUGCUUCGGCUGGUUGGCCCCUGUGUCCGGGGUCCCCCGCCCGCACGGGCGCCCGCCGGAAGUACCUUACUCGUGAACUUUUAUUGCAUCUCUUAGUCUUUGUACCUAAUAAGUCAAAACUUUCAACAACGGAUCUCUUGGUUCUGGCAUCGAUGAAGAACGCAGC
This 242-nucleotide unclassified non-coding RNA is filed under the name plant metagenome. Its description in RNAcentral is "partial contains small subunit ribosomal RNA, internal transcribed spacer 1, and 5.8S ribosomal RNA". The stretch from base 194 to 242 matches the Rfam family "5.8S ribosomal RNA", at positions 1 to 49 of the family's 154-position model. The record is from RNAcentral.